AUAACAGGUCUGUGAUGCCCUUAGAUGUCCUGAACCGCACGCGUGUUACACUGAUGCAUUCAACGAGCUUAUAACCUUGGCCGAGAGGCCUGGGCAAUCUUGUUAACGUGCGUCGUGAUAGGGAUAGAUUAUUGCAAUUAUUAAUCUUGAACGAGGAAUUCCUAGUAAACGCAGAUCAUCAAUCUGCAUUGAUUACGUCCCUGCCCUUUGUACACACCGCCCGUCGCA
RNAcentral lists this ribosomal RNA (228 nucleotides) under uncultured eukaryote. Its description in RNAcentral is "partial small subunit ribosomal RNA". It matches the Rfam family "Eukaryotic small subunit ribosomal RNA", at positions 1453 to 1680 of the family's 1831-position model. The record is from RNAcentral.